AACGAACGCUGGCGGCAUGCCUAACACAUGCAAGUCGAACGAGACCUUCGGGUCUAGUGGCGCACGGGUGCGUAACGCGUGGGAAUCUACCCUCAGGUUCGGAAUAACUCAGAGAAAUUUGAGCUAAUACCGGAUGAUGACGUAAGUCCAAAGAUUUAUCGCCUGAGGAUGAGCCCGCGUAGGAUUAGGUAGUUGGUGAGGUAAAGGCUCACCAAGCCGACGAUCCUUAGCUGGUCUGAGAGGAUGAUCAGCCACACUGGGACUGAGACACGGCCCAGACUCCUACGGGAGGCAGCAGUGGGGAAUAUUGGACAAUGGGCGAAAGCCUGAUCCAGCAAUGCCGCGUGAGUGAUGAAGGCCUUAGGGUUGUAAAGCUCUUUUACCCGGGAUGAUAACGACAGUACCGGGAGAAUAAGCUCCGGCUAACUCCGUG
This 433-nucleotide ribosomal RNA is filed under the name uncultured bacterium. RNAcentral's name for it is "partial 16S ribosomal RNA". It matches the Rfam family "Bacterial small subunit ribosomal RNA", at positions 29 to 507 of the family's 1533-position model. The record is from RNAcentral.